Molecule: ribosomal RNA, 497 nt
Filed under: uncultured bacterium
Lineage: Bacteria
Description: partial 16S ribosomal RNA
Rfam family: Bacterial small subunit ribosomal RNA
Source: RNAcentral
GAUGAACGCUGGCGGCGUGCCUAAUACAUGCAAGUCGAGCGAACAGACGAGGAGCUUGCUCCUCUGACGUUAGCGGCGGACGGGUGAGUAACACGUGGAUAACCUACCUAUAAGACUGGGAUAACUUCGGGAAACCGGAUCUUAUACCGGAUAAUAUAUUGAACCGCAUGGUUCAAUAGUGAAAGACGGUUUUGCUGUCACUUAUAGAUGGAUCCGGGCCGCUUUAGAUAGUUGGUAAGGUAACGGCUUACCAAGGCUACGAUGCGUAGCCGACGGGAGAGGGGGGUCGCCCGCACGGGAGCUGGGCCGGGGUCCUGAGGCCUACGAGAGGGAGCAGUAGGGAACGGGCCGCAACGGGGGAGAGCCUGACGGAGCAGCGCGGAGUGAGAGAUGAAGGUCCUCGGAUCGGAAAGCUGGGUUAUGAGGGGUGAACAAAUGUGUAAGUAAAUGUGGACGUAGUGACGGUACCUGGUAAGAAAGCCACGGCUAACUACGUG